This is a non-coding RNA of Delphinapterus leucas (beluga whale), 1333 nucleotides long. The record is from RefSeq and is a predicted model, not a curated record. Lineage: Eukaryota; Metazoa; Chordata; Mammalia; Artiodactyla; Monodontidae.
AUCGGCAGGCGGACUCUCAACCACUGCGCCACCAGGGAAGCCCCAUCCCAUAUUCUUAAUUCACCAGGCUCAUGGGACACCUGAGAAAGGUGGACAGAUAUUUGUAUCUUCAGGGUUUUCUAUUUCACUGAGAUGGGGGGUUUGCAGUGUCCCUGGCUCCCUGGACCAAGCCGGCGGCCCCCAGAAACCUUUGCUCUGCAAGAGGGGUGAUGGGGUCUCCACAGGCUCUGCUCUUACCCCUCCCCUGGGGCCUCAUUCUCCAAGUGAGAGGCCCAGGGGUGAGAUCAGGGGCAGACCCCAUGGCUGCUCUCCUCAGGGCAGGAUGAAAGGAUUAGACUAGUGGAGAUUUCACCCCCACCAGAACUUUUAGACUAUGCGGAUGUUGGGCCCUCCCCAGAAGGACUGGAUCUGAGGCCCUGUGGGUGGGUUGGCACAAGUAUGCUUUACAAGCUCCCCAGGAGAACGGGGGCAGUCUAGUGGGCCAGGUGAAUGCACAUUCCAACAACAGGACCUUAAAUCAGCAUCAGCAUCCCUGGGAACUUGUUAGAAAAUUAAAUUAUGGGCUUCCUCCCCACCCCCACCCCAGGGGGGCUGAACUGGAAGCUCUGGGGGUGGGUCCUUAAGUCCAUUUUAUAGGCCCUGCAGGUCACUUCUGUGCAAAACCAAGCUUGAGAACCACUGCCUAAGACCAACUGUGUGUUAAAAGGCCAAUGUGUGAGGUUGAAAUAUGUUUGUGGGAGGGCAGGGGGAGGGUGGAGUUCAGGCCUAGAGUUCCUGGGGCCUGGGGAGUUCCUGGGAUGCAGGACUUUCAGUGCUAAAACCAAGAGAGUCCUGGAAAAAUCUAGACAAAUCUGAUAAGACCCUUUUCCUUAUUCAUUCAACAGAUAUCAAGUACCUACUAUGAGCCAGGCCCCGGGUAUGCAGUGGUGAAUGAGCCAGGUGUGGUACCAGACCUUGGGGUUUCUGCAGCCAGUAGAGAAGAAUGCCACUCGAGAGCUUUUUGAGGCUCAAAACCAAGACCAGGCUGCUACCUGCCCUGAGCAGGAGCCCACUGAGCUCCCAGGCUGGCUGGGCACACGGGACACCUCUGUGGAACUCCCAGGAUCCUGGGGACUCAGCUUCGGAAGCACCCCAGUAUUCCAGUAUUCCAGAGAACCAGAGGAUUCCAGUGGGCAGAAAGGGCGUGGAGUUGAAACCAGAGUAGCCCUGAGUUGAUGAUUCUUGAGCUGCGCUUGGGGAUCUGAGAAUUCUUGAUACUACUCUCCUGCUACAGAUGUUUGAAAAUUUCCUUAAUAAAUAAAUAAAAUCCCUUCACCAGGAAGGGGUCUGCUAA